GUUUGACUUUCUUGUACAGCUGCAGUUUGUGUGGUGAAGGUGCUCCCACAAUGUGGUUGGGAUAUUAAAUCAGAAUAAUUGAGGCUGGGAUCUCAAAAGCAAGUUUUUACAGUCAAUGGAGUCAUCGGGAUCUGAAUAUCAUUGGCAUUUAACUGUGGAAGGAGAAAGGAUGAGGCUGUCACUAGCUCGGCCAGCAUUUAUUGCUGCGUUUAC
Molecule: non-coding RNA, 213 nt
Organism: Chiloscyllium plagiosum (whitespotted bambooshark)
Lineage: Eukaryota; Metazoa; Chordata; Chondrichthyes; Orectolobiformes; Hemiscylliidae
Source: RefSeq, a predicted model, not a curated record